This 328-nucleotide ribosomal RNA is filed under the name uncultured eukaryote. RNAcentral describes it as "partial 18S ribosomal RNA". It matches the Rfam family "Eukaryotic small subunit ribosomal RNA", at positions 1470 to 1796 of the family's 1831-position model. The record is from RNAcentral.
CCCUUAGAUGUUCUGGGCCGCACGCGUGCUACACUGAGUGGAUCAGCGGGUCAGGUUGCGCGAAAGCGUUUCCUAAUCUUUAAAUCCGCUCGUGAUGGGGAUUGACGGUUGCAAUUUUCUGUCAUGAACGAGGAAUACCUUGUAAGCGCGGGUCAUCAUCCCGCGCUGAAUACGUCCCUGCCCUUUGUACACACCGCCCGUCGCUCCUACCGAUUGGAUGGUUUAGUGAGGCCCUCGGAUCGGCCCCGCCGGGGUCGGCCCACGGCCCUGGCGGAGCGCUGAGAAGACGGUCGAACUUGACUAUCUAGAGGAAGUAAAAGUCGUAACA